AGCGCUUCAGCAUUUAAUGAGGUGAGUUUAUUUAUUAAAUGACUUCAGCAUUUAAGGUGGUGAAUUUAGUUACUAAAUGAACGUAUUGAUACGGUGAAGUGAUUUUUCCUCUAGUUCCCACUCUCUCUCCAUACAAAAAUACAAAAUAGGGACAUCAUUUUCAAAAAGAGACUAGAAAAUGGAAAUGACAGAAACAAGAAAAAAUAGUGGGCAACUUAAUAAUAAAAUGGAGACUAGACUCUGCGAGGCCGCUAGAAAAGCUUUUUGAAUGCUCCUUUGCUGACAAUGUUUACUCAUUUGUUUUCUUCUUCCUUUCUUUUUCUUUAGUGGCAACUAUUGUUCAGAACUUCAGAUUUGAAGAAUCUUGAGUCUAAUUGUAUCUAAAAUUGACUGCCUAUUAGCAUCAUAUAAUUUUUGUACCUGAUAACAUGAAAAUAUUUGCAAAUUAUUCCUUUAUUUAUUUAUUUCGCCUCUGUUACAGAAAGUGAAGUUUUUACAAAGU
Molecule: unclassified non-coding RNA, 502 nt
Filed under: Hevea brasiliensis (rubber tree)
Lineage: Eukaryota; Viridiplantae; Streptophyta; Magnoliopsida; Malpighiales; Euphorbiaceae
Source: RNAcentral